RNAcentral lists this long non-coding RNA (427 nucleotides) under Gossypium barbadense (sea-island cotton). RNAcentral describes it as "long non-coding RNA (GBAR_LNC004411)". Lineage: Eukaryota; Viridiplantae; Streptophyta; Magnoliopsida; Malvales; Malvaceae. The record is from RNAcentral.
UAACAACAAGUCUAUUCUGUAACCUGCAUCUGUUUUUAACCCUUUGAAAUUCGGCAGCAUUCAUUUUAGUCUCACAUAGGAAAAUAAUAUCGGGGUUGUUGGCAACAAUAAGUUGCUUUAGUUCCCAAAUUGUCGCAGAAGACCCCAACCCACGACAAUUCCACUUAAAACCUUCAUUGAUCCUGGCGGAGCUGUUCAAAAGCCGCCGCCUUUGUUGGUGUCAAGCUAUCCUGUAAUUUCCUCCGAACCAUUCUACCUGGACUUUUUUCGGUUAAAUCUCCAUUACUUUCUCUAACUCUUUUUCUUCUUAUUUUUAUUUUCCCCGACCCCUCUCAACGUAUUUUCAUGAUCCAUUUUUCACAAUAUGUGCUUGAUUUUGACUCAUCUUCCGAAUUUUUGACACGUUCCAUUUCCAUUUGACCAUUCG